This is an RNA transcript of Lagopus muta (rock ptarmigan), 1893 nucleotides long. RefSeq lists it as uncharacterized. The transcript has 3 exons. Lineage: Eukaryota; Metazoa; Chordata; Aves; Galliformes; Phasianidae. The record is from RefSeq and is a predicted model, not a curated record.
GGCUGUUUGGGGAAAAUGGCGCGCACGAAGCAGACGGCGCGUAAGUCGACGGGCGGCAAGGCGCCCCGCAAGCAGCUGGCCACCAAGGCGGCCCGCAAGAGCGCGCCGGCCACGGGCGGCGUGAAGAAGCCGCACCGCUACCGGCCCGGCACGGUGGCGCUGCGCGAGAUCCGCCGCUACCAGAAGUCCACGGAGCUGCUGAUCCGUAAGCUGCCCUUCCAGCGCCUGGUGCGCGAGAUCGCGCAGGACUUCAAGACCGACCUGCGCUUCCAGAGCUCGGCCGUCAUGGCGCUGCAGGAGGCGAGCGAGGCUUACCUGGUGGGGCUCUUCGAGGACACCAACCUGUGCGCCAUCCACGCCAAGCGCGUCACCAUCAUGCCCAAGGACAUCCAGCUCGCCCGGCGCAUCCGCGGGGAGCGCGCCUGAGCUCGUGGAAGAGAAUCUGACUAUUGAAAACCCAAAGGCUCUUUUAAGAGCCGCCACAGGGCCAGUAAAAAGAGCUGUAAACUCUUAAAUCUUUUGAGGGUUUACUGCUGCACGUGUUGCGGGUAGCCUUUUGUUGACCAGUUUCUAAGCACAGCCCUCCUUAUGUCCAUGUAAUGCCGGGAGAUCCCUGCUCUGCCUGAUCGAAUUGGUUCUGCAGUGCUGCAUGGAAGUAGGUGAGAUGCAGUUCUCACUUCUGUGAACGAACACAGACAAGGAGGAUUGCUUGGAGGGAAUAGAUAUUUUUUCAAAGCUUCAUGCAUCCCUGCAGAGGUGGUUUUAAAAGUUUGCGAGGGGUAAUGACACAGGUGCCAAAGGAAAUAAGUGGAACAUCAGUGUUUUUCUCCCUGAGACUACUGUGAUAAUCUCAGUGCAAGACAACACGGAACAGAAGCCUCACCAGACAAAACAACUCUGCACCCAACGCUAGAACUGUGGUUGUUCAGUCUGGAGAAGAGAAGGCUCAGGGGAAACAUUAUUUCUCUCUACAACAAUCCAAAAGGAGGCUGUAGUGAGGAGGGUUCAGCCUCUUUUCCCAGGUGACAGUGAAAGGCCCAGAGGGAAUGACUUUAAGGUGCUCCAGGGGAGGUUCAGAUUGGAUAUUAGGAACAAUUUCUUCUCCAAAAGAGUGGUGCUGCAGUGGCACAGGCUGCUCAAGGAGGUGGUGGAGUCACUGUCCCUGGAGGCGUUACAGAAUCCUGUGGAUGUGGCACACGGUUGGUGGGGAUGGGCUGGUGAUUGGACUAGAUGACCCCAGGGCUCUUUUCAAACCUAAUGAUUCUAUAAAUCUGGAAAAUUUAUUCUUUGCCCGAAUAGAAAGUUGUGCUGUUAAUAAACUUCAUGAAGUUGGACAGCCCUGGGAAUUGCGCUGAGACCACAGAAGAGACAUUUGAGAAUACACUGUAUUUGGAAGACUAGAGCACUUCCAGUUGCCGCUACUUGGUAUCCAUCUGCUCCCCCCUCUCCUUCCUCCCUCUCUUCGUUCUUUUUUGUUCUUUUAAACCACAUCUUACAUAACAUUUAAUAGUUACCAUUUACCAGAUACUUAAUUGAACUUACAGUUUAAACUUUCCUGCAACUCCCAGUACUGCCCUGAUGUGUCUGCAAAACUCCACUCCUCUGCUGCAGCUCAGAUCCCACCUCUGUCCACUGCAGGGGUACAGCAGAGCUCAUGCAGCUCCCUGAGAUCCUCCCAGGAGCUCCUCCUGGUGUUUUGCUGCUGUGGAGAAGGUGAUUUCGUAUCUUCUCUCUUUUCUGAGGCACAUUUCCACCACUGCUGCAUGAAUGUAUCACUGUUACAAAUGGCUUCAUAUACCUUGUUCCACUCUCUUGGCAAUGUGGGAGCAUUGUCAUGCAGAAAAGCUGUAUGUGUUUCUUUACAAACUCUGUGGGAGUUAUAUUUUUUGAACA